CCGGGUGGUGAGUACAGAACGAACUUUUCUUUCACUUUUUACUAAAGAAUACCGUGUGCACACAAAUUAAAACCCUCUUGUGACAAUUGUAGUAAAGAUGCAAGUAGGGAUCGU
Molecule: small nuclear RNA, 114 nt
Organism: Pyrus x bretschneideri (Chinese white pear)
Lineage: Eukaryota; Viridiplantae; Streptophyta; Magnoliopsida; Rosales; Rosaceae
Product: U5 spliceosomal RNA
Exons: 1
Source: RefSeq, a predicted model, not a curated record